GUGGGGAAUAUUGGGCAAUGGGGGAAACCCUGACCCAGCAACGCCGCGUGAGGGAAGAAGGUUUUCGGAUUGUAAACCUCUGUCCUUGGUGACGAAGGAAGUGACGGUAACCAAGGAGGAAGCCCCGGCUAACUACGUGCCAGCAGCCGCGGUAAUACGUAGGGGGCAAGCGUUGUCCGGAAUGACUGGGCGUAAAGGGCGUGUAGGCGGCCGAUUAAGUCUGGAGUGAAAGUCCUGCUUUCAAGGUGGGAAUUGCUUUGGAGACUGGUUGGCUUGAGUGCGGAAGAGGUAAGUGGAAUUCCCAGUGUAGCGGUGAAAUGCGUAGAGAUUGGGAGGAACACCAGUGGCGAAGGCGACUUACUGGGCCGUAACUGACGCUGAGGCGCGAAAGCGUGGGGAGCGAACAGGAUUAGAUACCCCGGUAGUCC
Molecule: ribosomal RNA, 428 nt
Filed under: uncultured bacterium
Lineage: Bacteria
Description: partial 16S ribosomal RNA
Rfam family: Bacterial small subunit ribosomal RNA
Source: RNAcentral